AUUGAACGCUGGCGGCAGGCCUAACACAUGCAAGUCGAACGAGUGGCGGACGGGUGAGUAAUGUCUGGGAAACUGCCUGAUGGAGGGGGAUAACUACUGGCAACGGUAGCUAAUACCGCAUACCAUCAGAUGUGCCCAUAUGGGAUUAGCUAGUUGGUGGGGUAACGGCUCACCAAGGCGACGAUCCCUAGCUGGUCUGAGAGGAUGACAAGCCACACGGGAACUGAGAAACGGUCCAGACGCCUACGGGAGGCAGCAGUGGGGAAUAUUGCACAAUGGGCGAAAGCCUGAGGCAGCCAGGCCGCGUGUAUGAAGAAGGCCUUCGGGUUGUAAAGUACUUUCAGCGGGGAGGCGGUACCCGAAGAAGAAGCACCGGCUAACUCCGUGCCAGCAGCCGCGGUAAUUC
This 406-nucleotide ribosomal RNA is filed under the name uncultured bacterium. RNAcentral's name for it is "partial 16S ribosomal RNA". It matches the Rfam family "Bacterial small subunit ribosomal RNA", at positions 29 to 526 of the family's 1533-position model. The record is from RNAcentral.